CUUUCAACAACGGAUCUCUUGGUUCUGGCAUCGAUGAAGAACGCAGCGAAAUGCGAUAAGUAAUGUGAAUUGCAGAAUUUAGUGAAUCAUCGAAUCUUUGAACGCACAUUGCGCCCCCUGGCAUUCCGGGAGGCAUGCCUAUUCGAGCGUU
RNAcentral lists this ribosomal RNA (151 nucleotides) under Megalospora tuberculosa. RNAcentral describes it as "5.8S ribosomal RNA". It matches the Rfam family "5.8S ribosomal RNA". From Rfam's summary of the family: 5.8S ribosomal RNA (5.8S rRNA) is a component of the large subunit of the eukaryotic ribosome. Lineage: Eukaryota; Fungi; Ascomycota; Lecanoromycetes; Teloschistales; Megalosporaceae. The record is from RNAcentral.